UUUUACAACAGAUGUUUUGAAGGCAUUGAUGUCAACAUCGAUGUUUUAUUACGAUGUCCCAGCACUAAAAUCAGCCGUCAGCUGGCUAUGAUAUACGUCAUUCUGUCAGAUUUAGGAUCCUGUUGCUGCGACAGAUUUUCUACAGGCCAACUACCCACAAAUUUUCCAACCACAAAAUGAAAAUAUUGAAUUACAAAAUGUUGAUUUGGAAGAAACAACAGAGGCACAAGAAGAAAUCUGGACAAAAAGAAAACCAACUCCAAAUGAAUUGGAGGCCACAAGGCUACUGUUAAGCAAGGAAUUUGAUGACAAGAAGACCGUAAAAUCUAAACUUUGGCAUAAAAUUGCAAAUUUAUUAAGAUCAAGGAAUUUUUAUCUGGGUCCCACAGGUGCAGACACAAGUUUUCCAACCUUUGUAAAGGCUAUUUGGCUUUUAUAAGAAAUCAAAAAACUACUGGAAAAGAGUCCAUGGAUCUGCCCCUAUUCUAUGAUGAAAUUCAUUUGAUAUUAGGUUCUAAACACAAAGCUGUGCCCCAACAUUUAGAAGAUACUAUUUCUCAAAUGCAGCAACAAUUUUCAGACAAUGAAAAUGAAACAGAGGUAGAUGAAGCAGAGCCCUGUGCAGGCCUCUCAACAGACCCUGUGAGCCAAUUUAGUAGAAGUAAAGAAACAGUAAAGCCUCUGUCAAAAACAGAAUCCGUUUUGGUUGAAAUGAGGGAGGACAGGAAACAGAGAGAAAAUGAAUUCAACUUUGUGAAGGAGCAUUUUUUUAAAGCCUCUGACCAGAGAGACAAGUUUCUCAAUAUUUUAGGGAAACUUGUCUCGAAAAGAAAAAGGGAAGAUUCUGACUCUGAUUAAGAUUUUAUGCCAUAUAAAAAUCAGAAACUUUUUAUAAAAUUCUGCCUCUAAAGGUUCAGUUUAAUUAAAGAAGACCUAACUGUUUAAGUUUUACGAGUUUAUAUACUACUUACCGUAUAAAAGAUUUAAAAUCUUUAAACAAGAUUUUAGUUUAUUAG
Molecule: long non-coding RNA, 1016 nt
Organism: Anthonomus grandis grandis
Lineage: Eukaryota; Metazoa; Arthropoda; Insecta; Coleoptera; Curculionidae
Exons: 3
Source: RefSeq, a predicted model, not a curated record